AGAAUCAACGCUGGCGGCGUGCCUAACACAUGCAAGUCGAACGAGAAAGGGGUAGCAAUACCCUGAGUAAAGUGGCGCACGGGUGAGUAACACGUGACUAACCUACCCUGGAGUGGGGGAUAACUGAGGGAAACCUUAGCUAAUACCGCAUAAUACCCACGGGUCAAAGGAGCAAUUCGCUUCAGGAGGGGGUCGCGGCCGAUUAGUUAGUUGGCGGGGUAAUGGCCCACCAAGACGAUGAUCGGUAUCCGGCCUGAGAGGGCGCACGGACACACUGGAACUGAAACACGGUCCAGACUCCUACGGGAGGCAGCAGUGGGGAAUUUGCGCAAUGGGGGAAACCCUGACGCAGCAACGCCGCGUGGAGGAUGAAGUACUUCGGUACGUAAACUCCUUUCGAUCGGGACGAUAAUGACGGUACCGAGAGAAGAAGCCCCGGCUAACUUCGUGCCAGCAGCCGC
RNAcentral lists this ribosomal RNA (461 nucleotides) under uncultured bacterium. RNAcentral describes it as "SSU rRNA". It matches the Rfam family "Bacterial small subunit ribosomal RNA", at positions 26 to 518 of the family's 1533-position model. The record is from RNAcentral.